UGUAAAAGUGUGGCGGACGGGUGAGUAACGCGUAGGAACCUGCCUCAAUCCGGGAAAUACCCCACCGAAAGGUGGGCUAAUGUCCCAUGAGCUCUACGGAGCAAAGCUACGGCGGAUUGAGAGGGGCCUGCGUCCUAUCAGCUUGUUGGUAAGGUAAUUGCUCACCAAGGCUAUGACGGGUAGCUGGUCUGAGAGGAUGAUCAGCCACAAUGGCACUGAGACACGGGCCAUACACC
Molecule: ribosomal RNA, 236 nt
Filed under: uncultured bacterium
Lineage: Bacteria
Description: partial 16S ribosomal RNA
Rfam family: Bacterial small subunit ribosomal RNA
Source: RNAcentral